This is a ribosomal RNA of Erinaceus europaeus (western European hedgehog), 115 nucleotides long. The record is from Ensembl. NCBI's taxonomy places the organism in Eukaryota, Metazoa, Chordata, Mammalia, Eulipotyphla, Erinaceidae.
UGUUGUAGCCAUACCACCUUGAACACAACUGAUCUUGUCUGAUCUCAGAAGCUAAGCAGGGUUGGCUCUGGUUAGUACUUAGAUAGGAGAAUAUAAAUCAAUAGGUUUAUAAUUU